GCUGACUCUCUUUUCAGACUCAGCCCACUUGCACCCAAGUGAAUUAACAGCCUUGUUGCUCACACAAAGCCUGUUUAGGUGGUCUUCUAUACGGACAUGCUUGACACUUGGUGCCAAAAUCUGGGCCAGGGGGACUCCUUCGUGAGACCGGCCCCCUGUCCUGGCCCUCAUUCCGUGAAGAGAUCCACCUGCGACCUCGGGUCCUCAGACCAGCCCAAGGAACAUCUCACCAAUUUCAAAUCGGAUUCCCAGCCAUAUGAAGACACCCUAGCUGGACGAUCAGUCCUUGUCAAAAGUCUGACCCCUCAAACUCUACAGCCUCAAUGGACCAGACCCUACCCGGUCAUUUAUAGCACACCAACUGCCGUCCAUCUGCAGGACCCUCUCCAUUGGGUUCACCAUUCCAGAAUAAAGCCAUGCCCAUCAGACAGCCAGCUUGAUCUCUCCUCUUCCUCCUGGAAGCCACAAGAUUAGGCCGAGAGCCGAUCAGACAAACAACCUACAACCCUUAAGCUCCUGGCAGCGCCCAGCCAAGGCCAUGCUUCCUUGCAACACUCCUUCCAAAUGGCCAUCCCAGCAUGCUUCCAAGCAGGCUUCAUCCGUUCCUCUGGACCCUCAUCUCUUAAGACCUGCCGCCUAUAAAAAGGAUUAUAUCUUGAGACCCUAUCCUCUAAAAUUUUUUCCACACCCAAAACAAAAAAUCUCUGGGUCAAAAGUCUAAAACGCUUAGGCUGGCAACCAUCAGAUCCUUGCCCAUGGUGUCCUCAAGCCUACUCUCAUGAAAUGGACAACAGUACACGCAUAUGGGGCCAGUUCCACAUAUUUGGCAACCAGACCAGCAUCCAGGACAACACAAAGUAUGUUGUUUGUUGUUAGAGGGCUUGGGACAUUUCACUCUUUGCCAGCCUCAGCUUAAUCCAGGAGACAAAGAUUAUUUUCCUUAUUAUCUCUUCUGCAUAGGAUCUGCAAUCAGAACUAUUGAACUUCUCCAUUCAGACCGCCACUCACACCUAUGGGAAAAGGGUAAUGUAUCAUCGGCUUAGCAACAGGGAAUACUAUUCGUAUGAUGGAAAAUGGGGACAAAAGGCUUUGGUACAUAAAACAUUAUUCCUUCCUUGGCCUAAAAACUCAUCGCCACCUACAUUAAAGCUAAUAUGCC
Homo sapiens (human) is the source of this 1159-nucleotide long non-coding RNA. Ensembl annotates it as urothelial cancer associated 1. Its record names the gene UCA1. The record is from Ensembl. Lineage: Eukaryota; Metazoa; Chordata; Mammalia; Primates; Hominidae.